RNAcentral lists this ribosomal RNA (306 nucleotides) under Staphylococcus epidermidis NIHLM067. RNAcentral describes it as "bacterial LSU rRNA". It matches the Rfam family "Bacterial large subunit ribosomal RNA", at positions 2617 to 2925 of the family's 2925-position model. Lineage: Bacteria; Bacillati; Bacillota; Bacilli; Caryophanales; Staphylococcaceae. The record is from RNAcentral.
CGUCGUGAGACAGUUCGGUCCCUAUCCGUCGUGGGCGUAGGAAAUUUGAGAGGAGCUGUCCUUAGUACGAGAGGACCGGGAUGGACAUACCUCUGGUGUACCAGUUGUCGUGCCAACGGCAUAGCUGGGUAGCUAUGUAUGGACGGGAUAAGUGCUGAAAGCAUCUAAGCAUGAAGCCCCCCUCAAGAUGAGAUUUCCCAACUUCGGUUAUAAGAUCCCUCGAAGAUGACGAGGUUAAUAGGUUUGAGGUGGAAGCGUGGUGACACGUGGAGCUGACGAAUACUAAUCGAUCGAAGACUUAAUCAA